RNAcentral lists this ribosomal RNA (624 nucleotides) under uncultured bacterium. Its description in RNAcentral is "bacterial SSU rRNA". It matches the Rfam family "Bacterial small subunit ribosomal RNA", at positions 149 to 791 of the family's 1533-position model. The record is from RNAcentral.
GUUGGAAACGGCUGCUAAUACCGCAUAAGCGCACAGCAUCGCAUGAUGCAGUGUGAAAAACUCCGGUGGUAUAAGAUGGACCCGCGUUGGAUUAGCUAGUUGGUGAGGUAACGGCCCACCAAGGCGACGAUCCAUAGCCGACCUGAGAGGGUGACCGGCCACAUUGGGACUGAGACACGGCCCAAACUCCUACGGGAGGCAGCAGUGGGGAAUAUUGCACAAUGGGCGAAAGCCUGAUGCAGCGACGCCGCGUGAGCGAAGAAGUAUUUCGGUAUGUAAAGCUCUAUCAGCAGGGAAGAUAAUGACGGUACCUGACUAAGAAGCACCGGCUAAAUACGUGCCAGCAGCCGCGGUAAUACGUAUGGUGCAAGCGUUAUCCGGAUUUACUGGGUGUAAAGGGAGCGCAGGCGGUGCGGCAAGUCUGAUGUGAAAGCCCGGGGCUCAACCCCGGUACUGCAUUGGAAACUGUCGUACUAGAGUGUCGGAGGGGUAAGCGGAAUUCCUAGUGUAGCGGUGAAAUGCGUAGAUAUUAGGAGGAACACCAGUGGCGAAGGCGGCUUACUGGACGAUAGCUGACGCUGAGGCUCGAGAGCGUGGGGAGCAAACAGGAUUAGAUACCCUGGU